CCCUUCGGGGUACUCGAGUGGCGAACGGGUGAGUAACACGUGGGUGAUCUGCCCUGCACUUUGGGAUAAGCCUGGGAAACUGGGUCUAAUACCGAAUAGGACCACGCGCUUCAUGGUGUGUGGUGGAAAGCUUUUGCGGUGUGGGAUGGGCCCGCGGCCUAUCAGCUUGUUGGUGGGGUAAUGGCCUACCAAGGCGACGACGGGUAGCCGGCCUGAGAGGGUGACCGGCCACACUGGGACUGGGAUACGGCCCAGACUCCUACGGGAGGCAGCAGUGGGGAAUAUUGCACAAUGGGCGCAAGCCUGAUGCAGCGACGCCGCGUGAGGGAUGACGGCCUUCGGGUUGUAAACCUCUUUCAAUAGGGACGAAGCGCAAGUGACGGUACCUAUAGAAGAAGCACCGGCCAACUACGUGCCAGCAGCCGCGGUAAUACGUAGGGUGCGAGCGUUGUCCGGAAUUACUGGGCGUAAAGAGCUCGUAGGUGGUUUGUCGCGUUGUUCGUGAAAACUCACAGCUUAACUGUGGGCGUGCGGGCGAUACGGGCAGACUAGAGUACUGCAGGGGAGACUGGAAUUCCUGGUGUAGCGGUGGAAUGCGCAGAUAUCAGGAGGAACACCGGUGGCGAAGGCGGGUCUCUGGGCAGUAACUGACGCUGAGGAGCGAAAGCGUGGGGAGCGAACAGGAUUAGAUACCCUGGUAGUCCACGCCGUAAACGGUGGGUACUAGGUGUGGGUUCCUUCCUUGGGAUCCGUGCCGUAGCUAACGCAUUAAGUACCCCGCCUGGNGAGUACGGCCGCAAGGCUAAAACUCAAAGGAAUUGNNNNNNGCCCGCACAAGCGGNNNNNNAUGUGGAUUAAUU
This 860-nucleotide ribosomal RNA is filed under the name uncultured bacterium. RNAcentral's name for it is "bacterial SSU rRNA". It matches the Rfam family "Bacterial small subunit ribosomal RNA", at positions 76 to 951 of the family's 1533-position model. The record is from RNAcentral.